UCGGGACAUCGAGAUCCUGUGGAAGUAUUCCAUUUGAGAUAAUGUGGGACGAGGUUUCGGUGCCGCUUGCUGUGCUUGCUGACGGGCGGCAGCGCUCCGUGAUUGCGCCGACCAAACCCCUUUGGCUGACGGCGUGCACGGAGGCGACCCGUUCGGUUUUAAUGUCAUAGCAGAAAUAUGAAAGGGUUCUCAGUGAAGGAGUGCGAUCAGAGAGCUGCGGCGGGGCUUUGUCAGUGCCAUUCCGGGUGCAUUUUCCCGGGAUUAUCGGGACGCGAAUAGAAUUGUCUGAUACCUGAUCCCCUUCCAAGUGCUCAGGUUAUGAAGAUUAAUGACGGGAGGCCCAAAAUGCCAACAUCACCCCGGCGGUAACUAGUGACCCGCUCAGAUAUAGCGUAAAGCAAUGGGCUCGGGAGCUGAAGCGAGCGUAACCCAUGUCUGUGCAGACACCCGUACCGAGGGAGCUGACCCUACUCACAUUGCCCGAGUCAGGGCACUUUUCUGGCGGUAGGGUGGCUUUUCAAGUCUAACAAUAGUUAGCAAGCACAGCUGCAAGUAAUGGAAAGGGGAAAAGGUAACUGUGCUCUGAAAGUAAAUAAAUGGCAUACAGCAGUGUAAAUUGUGAGUAAAGAGCACCAGCCAUUUCCGUGACCUUAAAGUGAGGAGGGACAAAGAAUUGGAACUGAGUAUGUUUCUGUUUAUAAAGCUUAUUGGGGGAAACCGCUCUGUAACAGCUCGAUGCUUAAACAUAAAAAGCAAAAUAAACAAAAAAAACCCCUCGUUAUUGAGAUACUGAAUUAGAAGCGGGAAGGAUGUUUGCGGUGGCAUGGGAGGCCAUGGUGGCAUGCUCUUGCAACAACCGAUAAAACCAAGAAUAAUAAUUUUGUAUGCUACACAAUGGUUAAAAUGUAAAAAAUAACAUUGUUAAAUCUUGCGUACUCUGAUUGCACUGAAGUUUAUUUCAACAAAGGCUCCAGUCUUGUGCCGUAGGCAGAAAAAUGCCAUAUACAGCUGAUGAUGGAACCAAGUCAGCGUGCUGUAGGCCCUGAUUGGAUGUGUGAGGUGGAGAAGGGCACUGGGCUGGCUCUGGCAGACCUCUGUGCUCCCUUGGAUGUGGCUGCAGGAUGUGCUGAAGCAUGUUGCUGUGGGACCUUGUCCCAGGCUGAGUGGCAGAGAUUCCUUGCCUUACUGUGUUUGUUAUAAGGAUGAGUUGUUAAUGCACACGCUGGUAUGUGAGCAUCACUGAGAAUUUUGGAGGAUGACGGCUUUGUAUUUGUUAUGUGAAGAAUUAGAAUUAGAAGAGAACUGAUUGCUCUUGACAUCUAUGUUUUACUCUUCAAUCUCUUUCAGAAGACCAUGCAUAAUGAACUGUGCAGGGAUGGUCUUGCACCCUACUCAUUCUACCAUACAAUAUGAACGUGUAUCUUUCUACUGCAAAAACUGUUUUAAUAUCGAGAAAUGGCAUUAAAAAGUUAAAUUUCACUCCGUAAUAUAGCCAGCACCUUGUCAACAAUAAUGUUCCUCCCUUAUGUUUUUAAUUUGUUAUUUUCCGUCCUCAAAUGGUACCAGGGAGGUUUCAUAGAUGAAUCUUUUUAGUUCCUUUUCAUCCUUUCAGGCAAAGUAGAACAGAAGUGGCUCCCUCAGAGCGUAGGCCAAGCUGACCUGGUUCAGUGGAAAUUCUUUGAAGGCAAUGGAGGGUUGUUGGCAUUGCCACCCAACAAGCAAAACACAAAGCUCGAGGCCCAAAGUGGCAUUCCCAGCACAGUAAUGCAUCGUGCUGACAUGACAUCGUGCUGGGUGGCAGGUUUUGUAUUGUCUUUGUUGACGGUGCAAAUCCCCACUAAAACCAACAGGAUUUAGGCAAGGCCGUGAAUGCCUGUUAUGUGUUUCAGACUUCAGACCACAUCUCUGCUGUGCAAAGUAAAAUAUCACUGUGUGUGUAAACUGUGCCAUUUGAACAGAAAGUGCGCUUGCAAAGCUGCAGUUUGUUGUUGAGCAGUGGUAUCAACUUACUAGAAAUGUCACGAGGGAUUAAUAUAAAGAAGUAUUAAACAGGAUUUGUGCCCUUUUAUAUUUGGUUUGGUUGUAUCUUGGAGGCCUGUGGAAACUGCAGCCAAACUUCUGUUAAUGUCACGCUCGUGAAAGAAUGUGAGCAUUCUCUGUAGAUUUGUUUGAGCUUUUGUGUGUAUUUCUAUGUAGAAAUGUGCAUGUCUGCAGAAGAAAAAAUGAACCAGCUUGUGAAACCCUCCAAGAAAUUUCACGCUUUAUUGAGAAAGAGCGAAGCUUGAGGAAGGAGGAGGCUGUGGGAAGGCUAUUUGUGCCAGGAACCACCAGCAUGGCAGGCGUCUCCUCCCUUCUCAGACAUUACCUGCAGCCCCUCUGACAAUACAGCUGUACUACCCUAAUAUCCUCCACAAACAUACACCUCUGACUUGGGUAUUGUUUUACAGAAGUUAGCAGGACCAGUCUUGUCCUUAAAAGUGCUUACAUGCAUGUUCACAUGUAGGACAGGAGCCAAGGCAAAUAAAUGUAUCUAUUUCAUAAUGA
Tympanuchus pallidicinctus (lesser prairie-chicken) is the source of this 2544-nucleotide long non-coding RNA. RefSeq lists it as uncharacterized. Lineage: Eukaryota; Metazoa; Chordata; Aves; Galliformes; Phasianidae. The record is from RefSeq and is a predicted model, not a curated record. The transcript has 2 exons.